Molecule: long non-coding RNA, 601 nt
Organism: Eucalyptus grandis
Lineage: Eukaryota; Viridiplantae; Streptophyta; Magnoliopsida; Myrtales; Myrtaceae
Exons: 2
Source: RefSeq, a predicted model, not a curated record
AUUAUCCUUGACUCAGUGUCGUUUCACCGUCGCAAGAGAGAUACGGCAGAGAGAGAGAGAUUCUAUUGGAUAAUGCCAAGCAUUAUCUCGCUCGACACCUCCUCCUUCCUCUUGGGACGAGGCCGAGAAGGUCAAGGACGCCGUCGGGAACAUCGUGUUCCGCAAGCUCGUCGGCUGCCACGAUUGCGAUCACCUCGUGCGUUACUCUAAGAUUGGACUGAAGUGAUUGAUUUUCAAUUCGUUCACUUUCCGCUGUUGCACGUGCGAGUAUCCACUCGAAUGCAUAGACACUCUAUCAAGAUCAGUAACUGAAGCUCAUUGUCCUGAUUGUAGACCGUGACAUGGAUCUUCUAAAAUGUCUGCUUAUGGCAAUGUUUGCUGGGACCAAGAUUCUGGUGGAUGCAGAAUACAGUGACUGAUCCGUACUGCUGGUCAAACCUUUAUACACUUUGUAACAGGGUUUCCAAUGUGUUCAGCAUGCCGGAGUUUGAAGAUUAUGGAAUUCAAAUCCUUUAUUUGUAAAAGUUCCUCACAGUGUAUAUAUUGUAUUUGAAAAGUGCCAUUCUCUUUGAAAUGCAAUCAAAUACGAUUGUUACUGUUA